Molecule: long non-coding RNA, 554 nt
Organism: Sorghum bicolor (sorghum)
Lineage: Eukaryota; Viridiplantae; Streptophyta; Magnoliopsida; Poales; Poaceae
Exons: 2
Source: RefSeq, a predicted model, not a curated record
UCUACUCUGGUGGUCGAUAAAUACACCAUACUACUGCACUAGCUUCAUAUGUACACAGCUCAUAGACACCGGUUCCUAUAGACAAGUAAGUUUGUAUAGAUUGACUGAGUAAUCCAGCGUAGGUGAGCUCCAUCAUGGAUAUGACCAGUGACCAGAAGAAAUCAUGUUCUUUUGAGGAAACUCAGAAGAAAACAUGUUGGCCUGAGUUUGUAGGCCUGUCCAUCACACAGGCAGUCCCAAGCAUUCUAAAAGACAUGCCUAACGCCGAAAUUGAAGUGCUGGCUCUUGGCUCGCCUAUGACUCAUGACUUCCGCCCCAACCGUGUCCGCAUCUUCGUUGAUACCGUUGCUCAGACCCCGAUGGUUGGCUGAUACAGUUAGCCUCUACCUGCUGGAUCUACCAAAUAAAGAAGCCCCAUUUCAUUUACUAGUUAAUAAAUCCAGUCUUUCUUGGUUGUUCUUGAAGAUCAGGGAUCUAGAUAUACAACCCAUGUAUGGCUAUCCUUAAUAAUCUUGAUGGAAUAAUAAAUAAACAAUGAUUCAGGUGCAUGCAUA